This 252-nucleotide ribosomal RNA is filed under the name uncultured bacterium. RNAcentral's name for it is "partial 16S ribosomal RNA". It matches the Rfam family "Bacterial small subunit ribosomal RNA", at positions 524 to 776 of the family's 1533-position model. The record is from RNAcentral.
UACGUAGGGUGCAAGCGUUGUCCGGAAUUAUUGGGCGUAAAGAGCUCGUAGGCGGUUUGUCGCGUCUGCUGUGAAAACCCGAGGCUCAACCUCGGGCCUGCAGUCGAUACGGGCAGGCUAGAGUUCGGUAGGGGAGACUGGAAUUCCUGGUGUAGCGGUGAAAUGCGCAGAUAUCAGGAGGAACACCGAUGGCGAAGGCAGGUCUCUGGGCCGAUACUGACGCUGAGGAGCGAAAGCGUGGGAGCGAACAGG